GUCCUCGUAGCUCAGGGGAUAGAGCAUCGGUUUCCUAAACCGAGGGUCGUUGGUUCGAAUCCAAUCGGGGAUA
This 73-nucleotide transfer RNA is filed under the name Planctomycetales bacterium. Its description in RNAcentral is "tRNA-Arg". It matches the Rfam family "tRNA". From Rfam's summary of the family: Transfer RNA (tRNA) molecules are approximately 80 nucleotides in length. Their secondary structure includes four short double-helical elements and three loops (D, anti-codon, and T loops). The record is from RNAcentral. Lineage: Bacteria; Pseudomonadati; Planctomycetota; Planctomycetia; Planctomycetales.